AAAUGUUCCAUCAUCAUUAAUUUUGCAGGCAAUAAAGCUGAUUGGUUGUAUAUUAAAAAAUUGGCAGAUUCAUUUGAAAGCUGCAAGGAUUUUCUGUUGUUCAUCUUGAAUAUAGAAAGGAGGAAGAACCAAGGGUUGUUUGUUGUAAUCUUGAUCGAAUUUUUUCAUUAAUAGUAAAGUUGUUUUCUUAUGAAGACAUCCAAGUCAGUAAUCAAUUCUUGUGUUCUUCUCAUCUCUUUAUCUUGGUUUUAAUUUCUUUUCUGAUUUUUUCCGGCUGUGUUCUGUUUAACUGUGUAUAUUUGAAUAUCAGUUUAUGUAAACCAAAUUGAUUGAUUGAAGUCCAACGAUAUAUUUAGAGACGAAAGUGAUGUUUGUUUUAACAUGUUGAUCAAAUUGAUAUUCAAAAUCUUUGAAGGGCAACUGGAUCUGCCACGUUAAUAAUGUAUCCAUGGAAGACUGUAUUUUUUUUAUAAGCAAAUAUUUUUGACAAGAAAGAUCUUUUAAGAGUCGGUUGAAAACUCUUAACUGGCAAGAGCGACGAUAAAUCGAAAGAGGAUUAAAAAAUUUAGCGCAAGUGGAAGCUCCAAUACCACAAUCCAACAUUGGGUUUAAGCUACUCAAACAGAUGGGUUAUACUCCAGGUUCUGCCCUUGGAAAGAAAGGCUCGGGAAGGGCUGAACCGAUUGGGAUUGAAAUUCGACAAUCACGAACAGGUAUAGGCUUAGAUGUUCAAUUACUGAGUGACGAGUUCAAUUACCGGCUCUUCUGUGGAUGCAAAGUCUGGAGCAAGUACUUUUGUUGGCUGGAAAUUCAUACUAUGAAGAUUGCUAAGCUCACUCCUAGUGGAUGAUUAAGCCUCGAGACAUUCUCACUAGAGCACAACAUCGUGGUAAUACAAGCGUUGUCAUUUUCCAAAUACCGGAGUUGUCUCUAGUUACAGUACUGCUUGGUGGUUGUCCGAUCUUCAAGGUGUUCAACCCUAUUGUAGGAUUUAGGUGAAAUUGGCUACACGGUUUGUGAAAUUCCAUUCGUAUCGGAAUUUUUCAUAAAAUAUACUAAUCAUUUUUACAAUUUUAGACUAUUGUUCCCAACUGGAUUCAGAGUCGAGAUGGGAUAUCCAUUUCCCCAACAGGAAGCGAGACCGAGCGUGGAUAAUGCAGAGGGGUAGGCUGCUCGACCGUUUAUGCAUAAAGGAAAAGAAAUUAAUAAGGUAAAAUUUCAAAAGGAAACAAUUGAUGGUUGAACAUGAACAUUGUGUCCAUUUAACAUACUAAGAUCACCAUAUUCUUCAUUGUUCAUAAUAAUUUCACCAUCAUCUUUGUUCAUAAUGAUUUCA
Non-coding RNA from Cicer arietinum (chickpea), 1336 nucleotides. Lineage: Eukaryota; Viridiplantae; Streptophyta; Magnoliopsida; Fabales; Fabaceae. The record is from RefSeq and is a predicted model, not a curated record.